Molecule: ribosomal RNA, 92 nt
Filed under: uncultured ectomycorrhiza (Lactarius pseudomucidus)
Lineage: Eukaryota; Fungi; Basidiomycota; Agaricomycetes; Russulales; Russulaceae
Description: partial 28S ribosomal RNA
Rfam family: Eukaryotic large subunit ribosomal RNA
Source: RNAcentral
UUGACCUCAGAUCGGGUGAGACUACCCGCUGAACUUAAGCAUAUCAUAAGCGGAGGAAAGAACUAACAAGGAUUCCCCUAGUAACUGCGAGU